AUUGAACGCUGGCGGCAUGCCUUACACAUGCAAGUCGAACGGCAGCACGGGUGCUUGCACCUGGUGGCGAGUGGCGAACGGGUGAGUAAUACAUCGGAACAUGUCCUGCAGUGGGGGAUAGCCCGGCGAAAGCCGGAUUAAUACCGCAUACGAUCUACGGAGGAAAGCGGGGGACCUUCGUGCCUCGCGCUAUAGGGUUGGCCGAUGGCUGAUUAGCUAGUUGGGGGGGUAAAGGCCUACCAAGGCGACGGUCAGGAGCCGGUCGGAGAGGACGACCAGCCACACUGGGAGUGAGACACGGCACAGACUCCUACGGGAGGCGGCAGUGGGGAAUUUUGGGCAAUGGGCGAAAGCCUGAUCCAGAAAUGCCGCGGGUGUGAAGAAGGCCUUCGGGUUGUAGAGCACUUUUGUCCGGAAAGAAAUCCUUGGCCCUAAUACGGUCGGGGGGAUGACGGUACCGGAAGAAUAAGCACCGGCUAACUACGUG
RNAcentral lists this ribosomal RNA (487 nucleotides) under uncultured bacterium. Its description in RNAcentral is "partial 16S ribosomal RNA". It matches the Rfam family "Bacterial small subunit ribosomal RNA", at positions 29 to 507 of the family's 1533-position model. The record is from RNAcentral.